ACACAUCUAACCACUCUUCAGCUGAUAUCCACUUGCUGACAAAUGAAUCUCUCUGGCCCCUGGACUGUGCCCUGAAACACAGCUUAAAACAGCAGAAUGAACAGUAAUCCCAGAGAUCCUGAGAUGAGAAAAGGGUGUUUGACUUAUUCAAAGAAGACCAAGGAAGCCCAAAGACCAGAGAAGAGUGCAGGAAAGGGGCGGCGGUCUGAGAUGCAGUCAGAGCAGUGGCAAGCCCCCAGAGUCUGUGGCAAAGACUUCAGGUUUCAUCCUGAAGAGGAAGACAGGUCUUUGGAGAGUUUUGAUCAAGGAAGUGAGAUGAAAUAUCUUAGGCUUACAAAGAACUACUCUGACAUCUAAAUGGAAAAUGGACUGAUGAAGCAAAAGAAGCCACAAGGAAGCCAGUUCAGAGGCUAUUGAAAUGCUCCAGAUACUCAGAGAGUGAGAGCCUUCAGAUUUGGGCCGCUGUGGUUCGUCUUCUGCCUGGGAACUGGAUAAAAACAUCAGUGAAUACCCCAAAGAUUUUCAAAAAUGCUUGUUGAUAAAAUGAAGUCAGAAUGUGAGAUGAGCCCUUCCACCUGAGUGAUGUUGGUCUUGGCUGUGUGAUUUGCUUUGGCUGAUGAUAAGUUGAUGGAAGUGAUAGUAAGACAAUGCUGAGCCUCAUCCUCGGAAGUAUCUCUGCCUUCACCUGGCUUUGUGCACCACUGCCCUGGCUUUGAGAAGAACAUGAGCCCAGUAAAUUGUUAGUCCAGGAAGAAUGAGAGAGAAAGUCCUGAGGCAGAGAAGUGGAGAGAAGUUGCUGCUUGAGCUUGAGAAAGAAUGGUGGCAGAGUACAUGCAUGGAAGUGCUACCAUAGCUGCUCUGAAAUCAGAGGAAAGUGGAAUUAUAAGAAGACCCCAUCUGACAAGGCUCAUAAAGGAGAGCAACUCUUAUGGAAUACAUCCAAGAUAUAUACGUCUUUGAAGAAAGACAUCACUCAACUGUGAAAGAUCACCAUGACCCCUGCUUUAAUUUCAUCAAAAAACUUAGUCCAUCAGCUCAGUUACCCUUUAGCCUUGCAUGGGAAUUGACUCAGAGCUUCUGCAAGAUCAGGCCCUAUAUUAGGUAUUGAGGGUUCAGGGAUGAACUAAGCUGAUCUGGUUCCUGCUCUCUAGGCUGUAGAAGAUGGCAAGUGCUGUGGACUUCAAAGAAAAGAUUUCUGAAGUGUCAUGUUAUGACAAUUGUGAUGCUUCAAACUAUGUUGACUAUUCAUUUACAGCAUAAAGAAGAGUGAGCCACUUUAUCACUGCAGUAAUUAUAUUUUAAAAAUAAAGAAAAUAAAACAAAUGGAGUUUCCCACCCAAUCCAUGGAGACACAGACACGAAGUCUUACUAUAGAUGUGUGGCCAAUCCUUACAUUGCUUUUAUUACAAGCCUGGAAAUGACAAUAAAAUACAUGAACUUGAGAGUAUAUA
Molecule: long non-coding RNA, 1451 nt
Filed under: Homo sapiens (human)
Lineage: Eukaryota; Metazoa; Chordata; Mammalia; Primates; Hominidae
Description: HSALNT0393725
Source: RNAcentral